CGGGCGGAGCCGGCGGGCCCCGUUUUCGACCAAGUCCCGUGAGGGGAAGUUGAAAAGCCCCGGGAACCGGCCCUGAAAAAAAACUUGAAAAUAGAACCCCCCCCCCCAGCUGGGGUUAUUCUUGGUUUAUGGAUUUGUUCCCCCAGCGCGAUAGCGAACGAGUCCCGUGGGGGAAAUAUGAAACGCUUUUUGGAAAGAGUGUUAAAAGUGCGUGAUAUUGUCGAAAGGAGAGCUCUUGAAGUCAGGCAUUGUGUGAGAGGCUCAGGGGGCUUUUGCUUGGUGUAUUUCUCGGUUCCAAGCCAGCAUUGGUUUGUGUCGUCGGAGAAGCGCAUCGGGAAUGUGGCAUCCUCGGAUGUGUUAUAGCCCUGUGCAGGAUACGACGACGUAGCUCACGGAACGCAGUGCCCCACCUCGCGGGUCUUCGGACACCUUCCCCCUUACCAUG
Molecule: ribosomal RNA, 445 nt
Filed under: Malassezia restricta
Lineage: Eukaryota; Fungi; Basidiomycota; Malasseziomycetes; Malasseziales; Malasseziaceae
Description: partial large subunit ribosomal RNA
Source: RNAcentral